GCGGAGGAAAAGAAACCAACAGGGAUUGCCUUAGUAGCGGCGAGUGAAGCGGCAAAAGCUCAAAUUUGAAAUCUGGCUCUUUCAGAGUCCGAGUUGUAAUUUGAAGAAGGUAUCUUUGGGUCUGGCUCUUGUCUAUGUUUCUUGGAACAGAACGUCACAGAGGGUGAGAAUCCCGUGCGAUGAGAUGAUCCAGGCCUAUGUAAAGUUCCUUCGAAGAGUCGAGUUGUUUGGGAAUGCAGCUCUAAGUGGGUGGUAAAUUCCAUCUAAAGCUAAAUAUUGGCGAGAGACCGAUAGCGAACAAGUACAGUGAUGGAAAGAUGAAAAGAACUUUGAAAAGAGAGUGAAAAAGUACGUGAAAUUGUUGAAAGGGAAGGGCUUGAGAUCAGACUUGGUAUUUUGUAUGUUACUUCUUCGGGGGUGGCCUCUACAGUUUAUCGGGCCAGCAUCAGUUUGGGCGGUAGGAGAAUUGCGUUGGAAUGUGGCACGGCUUCGGUUGUGUGUUAUAGCCUUCGUCGAUACUGCCAGCCUAGACUGAGGACUG
RNAcentral lists this ribosomal RNA (541 nucleotides) under Candida tropicalis. Its description in RNAcentral is "partial large subunit ribosomal RNA". It matches the Rfam family "Eukaryotic large subunit ribosomal RNA", at positions 50 to 597 of the family's 3401-position model. Lineage: Eukaryota; Fungi; Ascomycota; Pichiomycetes; Serinales; Debaryomycetaceae. The record is from RNAcentral.